This 26-nucleotide non-coding RNA is filed under the name Mus musculus (house mouse). The record is from RNAcentral. Lineage: Eukaryota; Metazoa; Chordata; Mammalia; Rodentia; Muridae.
UUCUAUGUUUUGUUGACUUGCGUUUG